This 567-nucleotide ribosomal RNA is filed under the name uncultured bacterium. Its description in RNAcentral is "bacterial SSU rRNA". It matches the Rfam family "Bacterial small subunit ribosomal RNA", at positions 314 to 881 of the family's 1533-position model. The record is from RNAcentral.
UGGUACUGAGACACGGACCAGACUCCUACGGGAGGCAGCAGUAAGGAAUAUUGGUCAAUGGGCGGAAGCCUGAACCAGCCAUGCCGCGUGAAGGAAGACUGCCCUAUGGGUUGUAAACUUCUUUUAACAGAGGAUAAAGUCGCGUAUGUAUACGCGUUUGCAGGUAUCUGUUGAAUAAGGACCGGCUAACUCCGUGCCAGCAGCCGCGGUAAUACGGAGGGUCCGAGCGUUAUCCGGAUUUAUUGGGUUUAAAGGGUGCGCAGGCGGAUUAAUAAGUCAGCGGUGAAAUUCCACAGCUCAACUGUGGCGCUGCCGUUGAUACUGUUAGUCUUGAGUAUGCUUGAGGUAGGCGGAAUGUAGUGUGUAGCGGUGAAAUGCAUAGAUAUGCUACAGAACACCAAUUGCGAAGGCAGCUUACCAAAUCAAUACUGACGCUCAUGCACGAAAGCGUGGGGAUCAAACAGGAUUAGAUACCCUGGUAGUCCACGCUGUAAACGAUGAUUACUCGCUGUUUGCGAUAUACCGUAAGCGCCCAAGCGAAAGUGAUAAGUAAUCCACCUGGGGAGU